This is a non-coding RNA of Myotis brandtii (Brandt's bat), 74 nucleotides long. Lineage: Eukaryota; Metazoa; Chordata; Mammalia; Chiroptera; Vespertilionidae. The record is from Rfam.
CUCGGGGGUGGGGGGUCCCUCAACCCGGAUUGUGAGAGGGCGCAGGCCAGGCCUAGGGACCCUACCAGUGCAGG